GGGAGUGCCCUUCGGGGAACCUGGAGACAGGUGCUGCAUGGGCUGUCGUCAGCUCGUGUCGUGAGAUGUAGGGUUAAGUCCCGCAACGAGCGCAACCCUUGUCUUAAUUGCCAUCAUUGAGUUGGGCACUUUAAAGAGACUGCCGGUGUUAAACCGGAGGAAGGUGGGGAUGACGUCAAGUCCUCAUGGCCUUUAUGCCCAGGGCUACACACGUGCUACAAUGGGUGGUACAAAGAGCAGCCAGCUCGCGAGAGUGAGCAAAUCUCAAAAAGCCAUCCUCAGUUCGGAUUGGAGUCUGCAACUCGACUCCAUGAAGUUGGAAUCGCUAGUAAUCGCGGAUCAGCAUGCCGCGGUCGAAUACGUUCCCGGGCCUU
RNAcentral lists this ribosomal RNA (374 nucleotides) under uncultured Syntrophus sp. RNAcentral describes it as "bacterial SSU rRNA". It matches the Rfam family "Bacterial small subunit ribosomal RNA", at positions 1009 to 1382 of the family's 1533-position model. Lineage: Bacteria; Pseudomonadati; Thermodesulfobacteriota; Syntrophia; Syntrophales; Syntrophaceae. The record is from RNAcentral.